RNAcentral lists this ribosomal RNA (223 nucleotides) under uncultured bacterium. Its description in RNAcentral is "partial 16S ribosomal RNA". It matches the Rfam family "Bacterial small subunit ribosomal RNA", at positions 1277 to 1500 of the family's 1533-position model. The record is from RNAcentral.
UAAACGUCUCAGUUCGGAUUGUAGUCUGCAACUCGACUACAUGAAGCUGGAAUCGCUAGUAAUCGCAGAUCAGAAUGCUGCGGUGAAUACGUUCCCGGGUCUUGUACACACCGCCCGUCACACCAUGAGAGUUGGCAAUACCCAACGUACGUGAUCUAACCCGCAAGGGAGGAAGCGUCCUAAGGUAGGGUCAGCGAUUGGGGUGAAGUCGUAACAAGGUAAC